Leopardus geoffroyi (Geoffroy's cat) is the source of this 410-nucleotide long non-coding RNA. RefSeq lists it as uncharacterized. The transcript has 4 exons. Lineage: Eukaryota; Metazoa; Chordata; Mammalia; Carnivora; Felidae. The record is from RefSeq and is a predicted model, not a curated record.
CGGGCCCAGAGAAAUUUCUGCCAUACUCCAUGUUGAUGACGAAGAGCCCGUGCCUGGCCCUCCUUCCUGUGAUGGUCUCCAGCUGGGCCAGCAUCUGCACGGGGAGCUCCUCCAGCUGAACCCCGACUUACACGGGAGACAGAUUCCAGAAAACUCUGAGUAACCUGAAAGGGAAGGCCACCGGCCCCUGGAGAGUGCUGCGCAGAGAUGAACGUGUGUGACUCAGGUUUUAAGAGGACCGCCCGGCUGCUGUGUUGAAAGCAGACCACGGGCAGAGGUGCGAGGCUGUAGGUGGUUCAGGCUUCACUUAGGAGGGAACCACUGGGCCACUCCAUGCCAGGGAUAGGCAGAGAAGAGCUCCGACCCGUGAAUGGUGGAGCUGGGCUACUCACUCCUUCAGCAGGACGACA